UUAAGUUCAGCGGGUAGCCCUGCCUGAUCUGAGGCCGAAACCUGAGACACGUAUCGACUGGAAGCCUGAGACGGACGCCCAUCGCUCGCGAUCCCCAUGGGUCCCCACGACGAUCCUUUACGACGUCGAGGGGAAAGGUCACGCUCGAUCGCGAUGCCCGUCCUCUCCGCUGAUGCAUUUCAGGAGAGCCGACCGUCCCC
This 200-nucleotide unclassified non-coding RNA is filed under the name Gyroporus sp. RNAcentral describes it as "partial internal transcribed spacer 2". The record is from RNAcentral. Lineage: Eukaryota; Fungi; Basidiomycota; Agaricomycetes; Boletales; Gyroporaceae.